Molecule: small nuclear RNA, 126 nt
Organism: Bison bison bison
Lineage: Eukaryota; Metazoa; Chordata; Mammalia; Artiodactyla; Bovidae
Source: Ensembl
GUGUUGUAUAAAAGGAGAGAGGGUUAGCGCUCCCCUUGACAAGGAUGGAAGAGGCUCUCGGGCCUGACAACAUGCAUACGGUUAAGGCAUUGCCACCUACUUCCUGGCAUCUAACCACUGUUUUUC